Molecule: long non-coding RNA, 1683 nt
Organism: Canis lupus familiaris (dog)
Lineage: Eukaryota; Metazoa; Chordata; Mammalia; Carnivora; Canidae
Exons: 6
Source: RefSeq, a predicted model, not a curated record
GUCUGAGAUCAGGGUGCCAGCAUGGUUUGAUUCUGGUGAGAGCCCGCUUCCUGGCUUGUGGGCGGCUGCCUUCUUGAAGUGUCCUCACAUGGUGGAGAGACAGAGAAAGAGUUACCCAGGGGCAACUACAUUCUGGAAGCAGAUGAUUCUCCUUCUGACGUAUCAUCAGAAGGUCAAUAGUAGCCUAACAUUAUGUCACGCCUACAUCAUUCACUUUACUUCAUCUCCUCACAUAGUCAUUUUGUCAACUGGCUCAUCACAAGACGGGAUGAGAGAAGAUCACCAGGCAGCGAGAAGGAGAAGAACAUUCCAGAGAGGUGGAGAACACAAUAAAUGGCCCAGAGAUGAAGCUGCACAGAAGGGAAGCUGAAGAAGCCGAGCCAUAUGUUUUGGAUCAAAGCAGGUCUAAUGGAUCCUGUGGAUGCCACAGAGAGGACGGGGAUGGCCAAAGUUAAGGCGUCAAAGAUGUGGGGGACAUAGACUGAAAUCCCUCCCUCCUCUGUGCAUUACCAGCAUCCUCCUUCCUCACAGACAGUUAAAGACUCUGGAACUCAAGGAUGGAGAAAGAAGAGGAUGAGAGAUCAUCACUGGCUGAGCCUAAGAUGUGAAAUGUGAUAGUAACUGGCAAUUACCUUGUAUCCAUGGCUUUCCUGCAUAUUUGAGGCCAUCGCCCUCUCAGAACUAAGGCACUCAUGUCCCCAGCUGCCGGGAAUGUUGGUGGCUGACAGCUCGUGAUUGAUUCCUGCAGCUGAGAUUGUUCUUUGUUAAAGAGAACUGCCUGAGCUAAACUCACAUCGCCUUCCUGAGAGCAGUCCAAGUUUGGUGACUGGUCAGAGAUGUAAGGCCAGACCCUUUGCCCCAAUUUGGGAUGACAAUACAGAGUCACCCCAGCUUCAGAGAAAAACCAUGUGGUUGGCUGGGAUCUUUCCAUGCCAUGUGGUUGAAGGAAGGCUCAAAAGCAUCAAGAAAGUAGGCAAUAAUGGGUAUACCAGUAAAAGUUGGAAAACCUACCAGAUGAUUCUGAUCUACAAGAAGGCCCAGAAAGCAUACUACUGAACAAAACAGCGAAGAAUACGCUACUGCAAGGGACAGAAGCGUUGCAGGGAAGGUCAGUGGUGGCCAACAUUGGUAGACCACACCUGCCAAUGGGAGAUUUUACAGAAUUAGGCUCCCUGCUAGGAGGGAGGGAGGGGCAUUUAGUCAUCUGAAGCAAAGUGGGUGCAAUUAUUGUGAUGAGCAUCAAGGACAAAGUGGAAAUUUCUAAAUAUAUAUCGUUAGACUUGCUAGAGCAGAAAUAUCUGGAGAAAAAAAUAUGUAUAUAUAUUCCAUCCAAUUCCGUCCAAUAUAUAUAUAUUCCAUCCCAUACCUACAGAACUACAAUCUUCGUGGGUGGGUCCCAGGAAUGUGUAUUUUUUAAAGUUCUCUGCAUGAUUCUGGUGUGCAAGUUAAUUUAGGAAGGGCUGCUACAUCAGGAACUCAAACCCAAAUCAGCCUAAGAUGUAUAUACAUCUUGCUCCAUCUUCCUGUUCCAGUUUAUUACAGAAUGGAGAGGCAAAAAUGGUCAAAAGUUUGGUACUACUGGGGCGCCUGGGUGGCUCAGUCAGUUAAGCAUCUAUCCUCAACUCAGGGUGUGAUCCCAGGGUCCUGGGAUCGAGCCCCGCAUUGGGCUCCCUACUCACUCUC